UCGGGAAUUUUGGGCAAUGGGCGAAAGCCUGAUCCAGCCAUUCCGCGUGAGUGAAGAAGGCCUUCGGGUUGUAAAGCUCUUUCGCAAGGGAAGAAAACUUAACCUCUAACAUAGGUUGAGGCUGACGGUACCUUGAUAAGAAGCACCGGCUAACUACGUGCCAGCAGCCGCGGUAAUACGUAGGGUGCGAGCGUUAAUCGGAAUUACUGGGCGUAAAGCGUGCGCAGGCGGCAUGAUAAGUCAGAUGUGAAAUCCCCGAGCUCAACUUGGGAACUGCGUUUGAAACUAUCAAGCUAGAAUAUGUCAGAGGGGGGUAGAAUUCCACGUGUAGCAGUGAAAUGCGUAGAGAUGUGGAGGAAUACCAAUGGCGAAGGCAAUCCCCUGGACCUGUACUGACGCUCAUGCACGAAAGCGUGGGGAGCAAACAGGAUUAGAUACCCCAGUAGUCCCUGAGCGGGCUGGCAAGGCGCAU
This 472-nucleotide ribosomal RNA is filed under the name uncultured bacterium. Its description in RNAcentral is "bacterial SSU rRNA". It matches the Rfam family "Bacterial small subunit ribosomal RNA", at positions 355 to 825 of the family's 1533-position model. The record is from RNAcentral.